UUAUGUUUGAGAAUGAAGAUUAGAGAGAGAUGGGAGGAGGAGUUUUAUAGUGAACCUCAAACAAAUUGGUUCUUGUUACUCUCUCCGUGUGCAGUAUCGCAUUCGUAUUUAGCCUUCAUUCGAUUACUGCACAAAUAGAUGGCUAUGUAAGUACACUGUAUACCAUAUACCUUAAUUAUAGUGGAAGUAAAAGAAAAAAAGAAGCUGAGAGUUGAUUUUGAUAUUGGAAGGUGGGAGACAAUCAUAUAUAAAAGAAACUUUGAUGGGGGCCUCCAGGGGAAACACUGCAUCAAUGCAAGUGGAGGCAGCAAGAGGACAGGUUUGUGCUGAUUCUAUUUUAUGCUUGUUCAACUUUAUUGCAUAAUUUAGCUGGUGUGGUCUCUCUCUCACACACACACGCACUACAUUGCCAUUGGUGAGUCUUUAUAAUCAUAGGAUAGCUGCAAAAUCUUAAAAGUAUAUAUAGAUGAAAGAUAAAUGUUAGUUGUGAAGGGAAGUAAAAGAGAAAAGAAUGAUUCUUUGUCAAUGUCUUUCCUCUUUCUCUCUAUCUGGAUAAAAUGAGAAUAAGUUAUAGUUUAUUUUUAAUAAAAAAUAAGUGGAAUAUAUAGAUCAUUUUUUGUUAUUUUGUUCGGUUCAUUACAUUUUUGACGUAGAAAUUUGCUAUGAUUUUCUAUGUUUACUGUCACUAUGGGAAUCAAAUUUUAAAUGAGUAAAAGAAGAUACGUGCAAGUGUGCUUGGACUUCUACAAAAGAAAGCACUAUGUGAUUGACUACACUAUGAUGCCUAAGCCAAGGUUUGUGUUUGAGAUUGAGAAAUCAAUUUGAUAGAGUUUUGGUUAGUUCAAAGUGGAUGCGAGCCUAAAGAAAUUUGGACGAGUCGGUGUCCGAUGAGUAUAAGCCAUUGACUUGAUUUGACAUGCUUCUGACGCGCUUCGGUUACAUCAGGUGGCAUGUCGAAAUUUCUAUUGAUUUUCUAGGAUCCAACUAGUUUCUUGAAAGGUUGGUGAACUUGGAAGCCCCAGCGCAGAGUGCACAGAUGUAGUGGCGUUUCUAGACCAAAGGAAUAGCUCUCGUUGGGUAGGUUUUA
RNAcentral lists this long non-coding RNA (1087 nucleotides) under Olea europaea (common olive). Its description in RNAcentral is "long non-coding RNA (OEUR_LNC004262)". Lineage: Eukaryota; Viridiplantae; Streptophyta; Magnoliopsida; Lamiales; Oleaceae. The record is from RNAcentral.